AGAAAUUAAAUAUGUGAUAAAAGAAGAUAUUCAUUAAAAGCAUUAAGUUCAUACAACUCCAAGAAUAGUAAAUUAAAUAUACAAAACCCUUAUUUCUCUGCUAGAGCUUCAUCCAGCCCUAGCGACGGAACUCAGCCUUCCAUGGGAUUCUGGACGACAGCAGCAGUGGAGAAGGCUUCCAUCACGACUUCCUUCCUCUCUCCCGUGUCUCCUUCCUUCUCUAGCUUCGGUGGGACUCCCAGAUAGGAAUGAAUGAUGCGGUGAGAUAGAACGGGUGAGAAGAGAAUUAUUGGAUCGGAGAAGAGCUGCCCCCUCCUUCACGUCUUGACUCCCUUUUUAUAGGCUGCCUACCUCUCUCCCUCCUCCCCGUUCGAGUGAGAAGAUAAGAACACGGGAUGCACGUGGGAUAUCUUGGAGAUUUGCUGGGAUUGGAGCUUAUUCGGAAGAAAAGGAUCACGGAGAAGAUGGGAUCUGAGCCGUUGUUCCAAAGCAGAGGGAGAUGUGGAGGACGUGGGAAAUGCGGGAUGGUGCUCACGGCUGAGAGGAAUCCGGAAGUUGUGAAGAAGAUGCACUGGGAGCUGAUCGCGUUGAACAGUUGGCUUGAUCCUUGGAUGCAGGGAAUGAUGCUCACGGCUGAGAUGAAGUUGGAGUGUGAAUGCCGUUGGGAAGAAGCUGAUUUGAUACGCUGGAGACUCGGGCUCUGUUCGGCAGAUGGGAGCUUGGAUGACUCUGUUCCACCCGUGGAUGAUGUAG
Molecule: long non-coding RNA, 753 nt
Filed under: Phoenix dactylifera (date palm)
Lineage: Eukaryota; Viridiplantae; Streptophyta; Magnoliopsida; Arecales; Arecaceae
Description: long non-coding RNA (PDAC_LNC006717)
Source: RNAcentral